Molecule: ribosomal RNA, 404 nt
Filed under: uncultured bacterium
Lineage: Bacteria
Description: bacterial SSU rRNA
Rfam family: Bacterial small subunit ribosomal RNA
Source: RNAcentral
UGGGGAAUCUUGCGCAAUGGGCGAAAGCCUGACGCAGCAACGCCGCGUGGGGGAUGAAGGCCUUCGGGUUGUAAACCCCUUUCAGCAGGAACGAAAUUGACGGUACCUGCAGAAGAAGCACCGGCCAACUACGUGCCAGCAGCCGCGGUAAUACGUAGGGUGCAAGCGUUGUCCGGAUUUAUUGGGCGUAAAGAGCUCGUAGGCGGUUUGGCAAGUCAGGUGUGAAAACUUCAGGCUCAACCUGGAGAUGCCACCUGAUACUGCUAUGACUUGAGUCUGGUAGGGGAUCACGGAAUUCCUGGUGUAGCGGUGAAAUGCGCAGAUAUCAGGAGGAACACCGGUGGCGAAGGCGGUGAUCUGGGCCAGUACUGACGCUGAGGAGCGAAAGCGUGGGUAGCAAACAG